AAGCGGUGGAUGAUGUGAUUAAUUCGAUGCAACGCGAAAACCUUACCUACCCUUGACAUGGUCGGAAUCCCGCAGAGAUGUGGGAGUGCUCGAAAGAGAACCGGCACACAGGUGCUGCAUGGCUGUCGUCAGCUCGUGUCGUGAGAUGUUGGGUUAAGUCCCGCAACGAGCGCAACCCUUGUCAUUAGUUGCUACGAAAGGGCACUCUAAUGAGACUGCCGGUGACAAACCGGAGGAAGGUGGGGAUGACGUCAAGUCCUCAUGGCCCUUAUGGGUAGGGCUUCACACGUCAUACAAUGGUCGGUACAGAGGGCUGCCAACCCGCAAGGGGGAGCCAAUCCCUUAAAACCGAUCGUAGUCCGGAUUGAGGUCUGCAACUCGACCUCAUGAAGUCGGAAUCGCUAGUAAUCGCGGAUCAGCAUGUCGCGGUGAAUACGUUCCCGGGUCUU
This 449-nucleotide ribosomal RNA is filed under the name uncultured Alcaligenaceae bacterium. RNAcentral's name for it is "bacterial SSU rRNA". It matches the Rfam family "Bacterial small subunit ribosomal RNA", at positions 927 to 1382 of the family's 1533-position model. Lineage: Bacteria; Pseudomonadati; Pseudomonadota; Betaproteobacteria; Burkholderiales; Alcaligenaceae. The record is from RNAcentral.